UACGAAGGGGGCGAGCGUUGUUCGGAUUUACUGGGCGUAAAGAGCUCGUAGGUGGUUUGUCGCGUUGUUCGUGAAAACUCACAACUCAAUUGUGGGCGUGCGGGCGAUACGGGCAGACUGGAGUACUGCAGGGGAGACUGGAAUUCCUGGUGUAGCGGUGGAAUGCGCAGAUAUCAGGAGGAACACCGGUGGCGAAGGCGGGUCUCUGGGCAGUAACUGACGCUGAGGAGCGAAAGCGUGGGGAGCGAACAGG
Molecule: ribosomal RNA, 253 nt
Filed under: uncultured bacterium
Lineage: Bacteria
Description: partial 16S ribosomal RNA
Rfam family: Bacterial small subunit ribosomal RNA
Source: RNAcentral